GAUUAAGCCAUGCAUGUGUAAGUAUAAAUAAUUUUACUUUGAAACUGCGAAUGGCUCAUUAUAUCAGUUAUAGUUUAUUAGAAAUAYUUUACUACUUGGAUAACCGUAGUAAUUCUAGGGCUAAUACAUGAVUAAAUCCUCAACUUCGGAAGAGGUGUGUUUAUUAGUAUGAAAACCAUAUAUCUUCGGAUAUAAUAGUGAGUAAUAAUAACCUUUCRUAUCGUAUGUCGUAAGAUAACGAUAGUUCUUUCAAGUUUCUGCCCUAUCAGCUUUCGAUGGUAGUAUAUGGGACUACCAUG
Molecule: ribosomal RNA, 299 nt
Filed under: Blastocystis sp. subtype 5
Lineage: Eukaryota; Bigyra; Opalinata; Blastocystidae
Description: partial small subunit ribosomal RNA
Source: RNAcentral